GACGAACGCUGGCGGCGUGCCUAAUACAUGCGAGUAGAACGCUGAAGGAGGAGCUUGCUCUUCUGGAUGAGUUGCGAACGGGUGAGUAACGCGUAGGUAACCUGCCUGGUAGCGGGGGAUAACUAUUGGAAACGAUAGCUAAUACCGCAUAACAGUAGAUGUUGCAUGACAUUUGCUUAAAAGGUGCAAUUGCAUCACUACCAGAUGGACCUGCGUUGUAUUAGCUAGUUGGGGGGGUAACGGCUCACCAAGGCGACGAUACAUAGCCGACCUGAGAGGGUGAUCGGCCACACUGGGACUGAGACACGGCCCAGACUCCUACGGGAGGCAGCAGUAGGGAAUCUUCGGCAAUGGACGGAAGUCUGACCGAGCAACGCCGCGUGAGUGAAGAAGGUUUUCGGAUCGUAAAGCUCUGUUGUAAGAGAAGAACGAGUGUGAGAGUGGAAAGUUCACACUGUGACGGUAUCUUACCAGAAAGGGACGGCUAACUACGUG
This 495-nucleotide ribosomal RNA is filed under the name uncultured bacterium. Its description in RNAcentral is "partial 16S ribosomal RNA". It matches the Rfam family "Bacterial small subunit ribosomal RNA", at positions 28 to 507 of the family's 1533-position model. The record is from RNAcentral.